Molecule: ribosomal RNA, 61 nt
Filed under: Gilliamella apis
Lineage: Bacteria; Pseudomonadati; Pseudomonadota; Gammaproteobacteria; Orbales; Orbaceae
Description: partial 23S ribosomal RNA
Source: RNAcentral
GUUGUAAGGUUAAGAAAUUAAGCGUACACGGUGGAUGCCUAGGCAAUCAGAGGCGAUGAAG